AGAACAAUAGUUUAUAUAGAACGUUUAUUUUGCAUAUAAAAAGAAUGAAUUUUCAUUUGUUUUA
This 64-nucleotide transfer RNA is filed under the name Franklinothrips vespiformis. RNAcentral describes it as "tRNA-Ala". Lineage: Eukaryota; Metazoa; Arthropoda; Insecta; Thysanoptera; Aeolothripidae. The record is from RNAcentral.